GACGAACGCUGGCGGCGUGCUUAACACAUGCAAGUCGAACGGAGAGGCGCUGCUUUUGUGGGGUGCUGGGGUGGCGAGCGGGUGAGUAGCACAAGAGUAACCUACCCUGGACUUUGGGAUAACUUAAGGAAACGGGAGCGAAUACAGGAUAGGAGCUCCUGGUUCAGUGGGAGGGUGGGAAAGUUUCGGCGGUUGGGGAUGGACUCGCGGCGUAUCAGCUUGUUGGUGGGGUAGUGGCGUACCAAGGCUUUGACGGGUAGCCGGCCUGAGAGGGUGACCGGCCACAUUGGGACUGAGACACGGCCCAGACUCCUACGGGAGGCAGCAGUGGGGAAUAUUGCACAAUGGGCGGAAGCCUGAUGCAGCAACGCCGCGUGCGGGAUGACGGCCUUCGGGUUGUAAACCGCUUUCGCCUGUGACGAAGCGUGAGUGACGGUAAUGGGUAAAGAAGCACCGGCUAACUACGUG
This 468-nucleotide ribosomal RNA is filed under the name uncultured bacterium. RNAcentral's name for it is "partial 16S ribosomal RNA". It matches the Rfam family "Bacterial small subunit ribosomal RNA", at positions 28 to 507 of the family's 1533-position model. The record is from RNAcentral.